RNAcentral lists this small RNA (562 nucleotides) under Pan troglodytes (chimpanzee). RNAcentral's name for it is "retained intron". Lineage: Eukaryota; Metazoa; Chordata; Mammalia; Primates; Hominidae. The record is from RNAcentral.
CCAGUCCUGACGGAUGAGCAGAAGUCCCGAAUCCAGGCCAUGAAGCCCAUGACCAAGGAGGAGUGGGAUGCCCGGCAGAGCAUCAUCCGCAAGGUGGUGGACCCCGAGACGGGGCGCACCAGGCUUAUUAAGGGAGAUGGCGAGGUCCUAGAGGAAAUCGUAACCAAAGAACGACACAGAGAGAUCAACAAGGUGGGUGUGGCCCCUCUGCCUGCCAUCUGCCCCCAGCUCUGUUUGUGAUGUACCCCUCCUCCUGUGUGCUUUCUUCCCCAGCAAGCCACCCGAGGGGACGGCCUGGCCUUCCAGAUGCGAGCUGGGUUGCUUCCCUGAGGGCCCCCGCUGGCCAAGGCCUGUGGACGGCGCUGGCGGCCCAGCCUGGGCAGGUUUCAGGGUGCCAGUGGGAAGCCUGAUGGGUGCUGGUGGCCUUUCCCCCAUGGAUUGGUCUCUGGCCCAGCCCAGUCUCUUCUUAGGGGCAGGGGGUGGAGGUUGGGGUCACCGGCCUGCUUGGCACCCCCAUCUGAAAGAGCAGCACUUCUCAGCUAUUAAAGGCCCCCUGGAUAGA